Molecule: long non-coding RNA, 2968 nt
Organism: Monodelphis domestica (gray short-tailed opossum)
Lineage: Eukaryota; Metazoa; Chordata; Mammalia; Didelphimorphia; Didelphidae
Source: RefSeq, a predicted model, not a curated record
CUGAGCUGGUUGUUAUCAAUGGAGUCAGGCAGUUUAGACUACAGGUGAUUUAGAGAGGAAAGGGAAAAAUUGAAUCAAUGAGGGAGAAGAAACAAUUGCCCAACAAUCAAGAAAUUAUCCUUAAACUUCCAGGCCAGAAGCAACCACUUCUUGCUCUCAACUAAGAACUGAGAGGCAGGCUGGCACAAAUGGAUAUAGUCUAAGAAUUAACAACAAAGAGACUUGUAUUCAAAUCCUGUCUCUGACACUUAAUAGCUUGAUGAUGAUAGGACUCUGUCUGGGAGAAUGAGAAUGUUGCUGCAGGCCACUGUGUAGACUCCCUUGUGAAGAUCUCAAGGAGGCAACAGAGAUGAGGCUGGGAAGGCGUGGAACCAAUGCAAAUUCUGUGACUAAAAAGAAUUUUUAAAGACCCCAAGGGUUUUGAAAUCUAUUUUACAAAGCUGAUUCCCAUUGUGUCCUACCUUGUGCCACCUACUACUGCAAGAGCUCUCUAAAAAAUACAGUCCUUGAAAUGUGAUUUCUAAAAACUUCAUUAUUCUGUGGUAGAUUUUGGAAUUGGAGUCAGCAAACCUGGGAUCUACUCUUGAUUCUAAACUUAAGCAAAUCAUUAUCCCUCUUUGGACCUCAGUUUGCUCUAGUGUAAAAGUAAAAUGAAAGGAUUUGGCUAAGUAUCACUAUGAUUUUUCCCAGCUCCAACAUUCUAUGACUGUGAAUUGAGACCUUAAAUCCUCUCCUCAGUCAUUUCCUCGACAUGCCAAUUAUACUCCAGAUAUCAUGCUCAUCUCUUCCCUCUUCCCCACCAGUUUUAAACCCCAGCCUGAAGGCUACCAAGCUCUGAUGGGUGAACUUAUGAGUAAAGUAAUUCCUCUUACUUUGCCCAUGUCCAAACCUCCAAACCAUUUCAAAGCCAUUCAUUUACCGCACUGCCUAUCAUCUUCAGAUCCUCCUCCUCCUCUACCCCCACAAUAACCCUUUGGUAACCUAACUCUGCCAGCUCCCCUUUCCUUUCCUUUUCUCAUAGUCAGGAUUCUAUAGACGUUUCCUGGCCAUUUCCACACCAUGUCACCUAUGUCUCCUCCUUCGUUCAAGUUCUCCUUUAGCGAUGAUAGUCUUCCAUAAGAAUGUAAGUCCUCUGAGGACAGGGAUCGUCCUGCUCCCUUGUUUUUGUAACUCCAGUGCUGGGCACCUUGCCUGAAGAAGUAGGCACUUAAUAAACAGUGUAUCCACCCACAUAAACCCUAGUUCUGACCUCAUUCUACAUCUUCCUCCUAGUUACACAAAUUCUAGAUUCCAAGAAACAAAACUCCAUUCCUAUCUUGGGCCUGCUGUUCAUUAAGUAACACUACCAGCAGCACUUUAAGAAUGACAUAGUAUCCACGCCUGUGAGGUCCAAAAUGCUGGCAUUAUCUUUGGGUGAAGAAAGUAAUGUUCAUAAAAGCUAAAUUAUUUGCCCAAGGUCACCUCGCUAGCAAAUGUCAGUGAAGAAAUUCGUGUCAGUCUCCACAUUCUAGAAGUUGACAUAAAGAAAACUACAGUGAUACAUGAGACCUAAACACUUUGUAUAUAUUAAUGAUGACUUAUUAUAUCGCCUCAAGAAUGAUAAUUCAUGUUUUGCUCUCGUCUUCAUUAUUAAUGAACUAAAUGACCUUAUUUAAGACAGGCAACAGUGAAUGGCAAGGAGAUAAAUAUUUUACAUUUUGCAUUCAUGGUCUACUCUUCAUGCAGACAAAUUUCACCUUAUAAAUAUCUCAUGUUAUUUAUUCAAUUACUUCAUUACAUACACACUUUCCCACCGGAAUGCAUAUAGGUAGGAUGGCACACAUAGUUCUCUUUGUAUUGUACUUGAAGCUUAGAACACAGAGAAGUCAUUUUAACACACCCUCCUCUGACAGUUUUGCUAGUAUAAUAGUACACAUUGAAGAAAACUCUGUACUGAGAUGGAAACUUUUUUUGGCUAACCCUCCAAAUUUGGGGAACACAAUUGAUUUCAAUUAGCUUUCUACCCUGGUCAUAGGGGACAGAGUGCUGAACAUGAAAUCAGGAAGGGUUCAAAUUCCACCUCUGAUACUUAUUAGUAAUAUGACCACAGCCAGGUCCCUUGACCUAUAUGAUUCUCAAUUUCCUUAUUUGUAAAAUGAGAUUAAUAACAACUAACUCAUAGGGUUCUGGUGAAGAUAAAAUGAAGUAAUGAAUGCAUUUAGCAUCCAAUAAAGCACAAAUUAUUUGUUAUUACCAUCACCAUAAUUAAAAUGUUCAGCUCCUCUCUUCUUUGCAAAUCUAAACAACAAAGGCACUAGCUAGAAAUCUCACAUCACCUUUGCUUUGAAGCAGUAUUUCCCAAACUUAUUUGACCACAGAACAUCCUGACCUUUAAAAUAUACUGACAGAAACAAAAAAUGCUGGGGAUGAAGGAAAAUUUUUGGAAUUAAAGAAUACCAGGGGAAGAAGGACAGGGAAGAGUAGACGUUGUUUAGAGAAAAUAGAGGAACUUUGGUUAAUUUUCAUAAAGGUCUUGUAACAUAAUGUAUAGAAUUAUGAGGCCUAAAUCUACAUCCCAUAAUUACUUUUUUAUUGUUGUUGCUCAAUCAUUCAGUCACAUCCAAUUCUUUGUGACCCUAUUUGGAGUUUUUUUUUGACAAAGAUACUGGAGUAGUUUACCAUUUCCUUUUCCAGCUCAUUUUAUAAAUGAAGAAACUGAGGCAAACAGGAUUAAGUAAUUUGCCCAGGGUCACACAGUUAGUAAGUGUCCGAGAUCAGGUUUUAACUCAGUUCUUCUUGACUCCAGAUCCAGUGCUCUAUCCACUGAAUAAUCCUCUAGCUGCCUCUUACUCAUAUGUUACCAUGGGCAAAUUGCUUAACUUCUCAGCAUCAACCUUCUUACUUGUAAUAGGAGGAUAAUAAUUCUUGCAGAAUCUAUCUCUUAGGGCAGUUGCAAAGUUCAAUUAAGAAAAUAAAGACAAAAUGUUUU